This 267-nucleotide long non-coding RNA is filed under the name Physcomitrium patens. RNAcentral's name for it is "long non-coding RNA (PPAT_LNC012391)". Lineage: Eukaryota; Viridiplantae; Streptophyta; Bryopsida; Funariales; Funariaceae. The record is from RNAcentral.
AAGAGUUUUGCAAAGUCAAGCUUUGUUUUGGAAGACUUAGGUUUUAUGAAAUAAAAUAGGGUUUAUAUUUUGGGUGAUUUUGAGAGUUUUGUAGUAGAUCUAUAAGUGAAAUUUUGUAAGUUUAUGGUUAUAGUUGUGUUCAAUAUGUGUUGUGAAUUUGAGCUCGAUCUAAUAGUUGAAUUGAAGGAUAUUGAGGUUUAAGUGGGUCAAGGUCUUAGAAAGUAGAAUUUUAGGUCUAGUGAGGGUUUUUAAGAUUUCUUACAAUCU